ACACCUCAACUCUUCAUGGUUUGCCAUGAUGAGCUUGGACUUUGGGGGUCUUGCUGGCCUGUGGUCGGCUCCUCUCAAAUGAAUCAGCUUUCCAGUGUUUGGUGGCGUCACAGGUGUGAUAAAUAUCUACGCUUGUGGUUUCCUGCCAGGUAACCUUCAGUGAUGGAGGUUCGCUGGGGCUCAUAAAUGUCUCUCCUCAGUGAAGACAGCUUUGUGAAC
RNAcentral lists this unclassified non-coding RNA (219 nucleotides) under uncultured Tomentella. RNAcentral describes it as "sequence contains ITS2". Lineage: Eukaryota; Fungi; Basidiomycota; Agaricomycetes; Thelephorales; Thelephoraceae. The record is from RNAcentral.